Molecule: RNA transcript, 1076 nt
Organism: Herpailurus yagouaroundi (jaguarundi)
Lineage: Eukaryota; Metazoa; Chordata; Mammalia; Carnivora; Felidae
Gene: LKAAEAR1
Gene name: LKAAEAR motif containing 1
Exons: 6
Source: RefSeq, a predicted model, not a curated record
ACCUGCUCGGGUCUGCUGCAGGGAUUUCGCCCGUCGGAUGUGGGCGCCCUCCAAGCACCUGGAUCCUGACUCUGCCGGUGCCCCUCCCUCCCCAGGGGCAGGCCCGCCCCCGCCGUGCAGGGGGAGGGCGGGACUCCCGGUUGCCAGGCAACCGCGUCAACAAGCCCAGGAGAGUCAGGGCUCAGUUGGAGGCUCAGACCCCGGAAGGCGGAAAGUAUGGGGUGGCCCCAGGUCUCCGCAUUUUCUCAGUGGACAGAGAACCAGCCGGUGGGCAGGAAGGGAAUUUCCUGAAACUCGGCGGAUCAGAAAUGUCUGGUUGACAGCAGGGAGCGGGCCGAGCAUGCAGUCGCCAGCAGAGAAGGAGGCCGGGCUCCGGGGCCCGCGGGAGCGAACCGGAAAGGGGUCCCUUGAGGAACGCGCCCGGGGGGCGCCCGCGGCGCAACCCCCCAAGCCAGGGUGGGCCCUGACGCUGGAGGGGCUGGCGGCCAUGAGCCCCGCGCAGCGUCACCGCCACCUGCUCUUCGGUGACCAGCUUGAGGACGUGGGCGCGGCCGCCUCUAUCUUCCCGCGCGAGUCAGUGGAGCUGGGGAGCCGUAUGCCCGACCCGCGUGCGUGGACGCAGUCACCGGAGCCGCCCGGCGUGCGCCAGGACCGGCUCCUCGGCGUCCUCAAGGCAGCCGAGGCCCGGGGGCGAAUCCGCGCCUUGCGGCUGCGCUACAUCCGCAUGCGGGCGGAGGAGAUCGCGCUCCUCACCUGGCAGCAGAAGUCCGCGCGCGCCGCCAUCCGGCUGGAGCUGUUCCUACCGCCGCAGCUGAAGCCCACGCGGAUCCCGGACCCCCUGGAUCGUCAAGAGAGAUCUGGAGGGUCUCACCCGGGCUGUGAGUGAACACAGUGAGUGUCCCAUAAGGGUAUGCUCACUCUGCAUCAGGCAAACACAAGAGGACAGAGGCACAAGACAGACACACAAAGCCCUGAGAAGACCAGCAAGAGGGUGGCCUCACAGGUGCCACCGCCUGGCGCACAGGGAGCACCCAGAUGAUCGCCGAAUGAAGAGCACAUACAAAAUCUCCACUUCC